This 353-nucleotide RNase P RNA is filed under the name Bacillota bacterium. RNAcentral's name for it is "RNase P RNA component class A". It matches the Rfam family "Bacterial RNase P class A". From Rfam's summary of the family: Ribonuclease P (RNase P) is a ubiquitous endoribonuclease, found in archaea, bacteria and eukarya as well as chloroplasts and mitochondria. RNAcentral also lists the same sequence under 1 other name. The record is from RNAcentral. Lineage: Bacteria; Bacillati; Bacillota.
UGGGUAGAGCAGACAAUCGCGUCUUCCCCUUUGAGGGAAGAUGAGGAAAGUCCGGGCUCCACAGGGCAGGAUGCCGGAUAACGUCCGGCGUAGGUAACUAUAGGGAAAGUGCAACAGAAACAUUCCGCCGAAACGGGUAAUGCCGUGGUAAGGUUGAAAUGGUGAGGUAAGAGCUCACCGGCGGUACGGAGACGUACCGGCCGUGUAAACCCCAUCCGGAGCAAGACCAAAGAGGGGCUUAAGGCAGUUGCCCGCUGCCUCCCGGGAGGUAGGUCGCUGGAGCUUGUCAGCAAUGGCAAGUCGAGAUAGAUGAUUGUCAAAUACAGAACCCGGCUUAUAGCUCUGCCCAGGUU